AACGAACGCUGGCGGCAUGCCUAACACAUGCAAGUCGAACGAGACCUUCGUGUCUAGUGGCGCACGGGUGCGUAACGCGUGGGAACCUGCCCUUAGGUUCGGAAUAACUCCCCGAAAGGGGUGCUAAUACCGGAUAAUGUCUUCGGACCAAAGAUUUAUCGCCUUUGGAUGGGCCCGCGUUGGAUUAGCUAGUUGGUAGGGUAAAAGCCUACCAAGGCGACGAUCCAUAGCUGGUCUGAGAGGAUGAUCAGCCACACUGGGACUGAGACACGGCCCAGAAUACUACGGGAGGCAGCAGUGGGGAAUAUUGGACAAUGGGCGAAAGGCUGAUCCAGCAAGGCCGCGUGAGUGAUGAAGGCCUUAGGGUUGUAAAGCUCUUUUACCCGGGAUGAUAAUGACAGUACCGGGAGAAUAAGCUCCGGCUAACUCCGUG
This 433-nucleotide ribosomal RNA is filed under the name uncultured bacterium. Its description in RNAcentral is "partial 16S ribosomal RNA". It matches the Rfam family "Bacterial small subunit ribosomal RNA", at positions 29 to 507 of the family's 1533-position model. The record is from RNAcentral.